RNAcentral lists this unclassified non-coding RNA (18 nucleotides) under Chlamydomonas reinhardtii. Its description in RNAcentral is "small RNA Cre_0454". Lineage: Eukaryota; Viridiplantae; Chlorophyta; Chlorophyceae; Chlamydomonadales; Chlamydomonadaceae. The record is from RNAcentral.
AGCAGCAGCCGUGUGGGU